Molecule: long non-coding RNA, 1175 nt
Organism: Aethalodelphis obliquidens (Pacific white-sided dolphin)
Lineage: Eukaryota; Metazoa; Chordata; Mammalia; Artiodactyla; Delphinidae
Exons: 2
Source: RefSeq, a predicted model, not a curated record
UCCAGGUUAUGCAAACUCAAAGGUGUGGGUGUGGGUGAGGGGGACGAUAUGCAAACUCCAAACCGAGCAAACAAAGCCAGCCGGCAGGAAAGGCACUGACUGGCAAACGUUUCACUCUGUAUUUGCCAUUCUCAGGACAUGAUGUAACCUCAGGUUGCCCAAUUUAUAUUUGCACAUUUUCCCCAGCGAGCUUCAAAACCUCCCAACUCCAUUAAAGUGCCUUUUUAAAAGUUCACGUCUGCAGCCCAAGAAGCCUGCACGACAGGCCGUGACCCGACGGUCACCUAGGCCCAACCAAGUGCGCUGAGAGGGUUUGGAGUUGCAAAGGUAGACUCGGAAGGGAGAAGGCGCAAACGCAGGCGGCGAGGAGCUUGACAGCCACGUUUGUACUUUUACCCUACCAUUCUCAGCCCACUUGAUUAGACACUGCCCAGGGCACCGUAUGGGCUUCACCUUUUCCCUGCCCUGCCUCCUGAGCCCCGCUGCUCUCCCCAAUCCAAAGGGCGCUCAUAAUGGUAAAAGGAAAAAAAAAAAAAAACCCACGUCUUCUAGCCCUCCUCCUCCGCUUCCUGGUACCUCCUGCCCCUCCUUCCACAUCCUAGCGGCCUCCUGGUCACCCGGUCGUUGGCUCCACCUUGCAGCACCCAACAAAAUGGCAGGUAGCAUCAGGCGAGGCCGAGAGCGCCGGCACCCGCUCCAGCCCAGCGUGGCCCCCGGCCAAACCGCCGGGGGUCUCUGACAGUACCCCAACUCCAAAGAGCCUUCUCCUCUCAGAGUCCCCAAUCCUCGGCCCGCGGGGCCUCCUGCUCGCUCUCCCGGGACCAUUUCUUUCGCCAGCGGAGGAGCAGGUGCCAGCGUAACAGCUCUCAAUAAACAAAGUACAUCCAAAAGGAAGACAUCUUCAAGUUCUUUACCCUGAAAAUGUGCAGCUAUAGUGAUGGACCCCCAGAAUUUCAAUGAAUAAGCCUACAAUGACUUUGAAGUUCCCAGAAGUGCUCAGUGACUCAGAAAAGCCUCAACUGUGCUUGUCUUAAAAAUUACCACCAAGGGGAAAACUUCACUGUGUCCCUUCCAGCACCCUCCUUGCUGCACCAUGCAUCCCCCACCAUCCCCGACUCUACCUGCUUUCUACCUGCUUCCACAAUGACCAGUGGAUUAAAAAAAAUAUCGUUGAA